Molecule: ribosomal RNA, 395 nt
Filed under: uncultured bacterium
Lineage: Bacteria
Description: partial 16S ribosomal RNA
Rfam family: Bacterial small subunit ribosomal RNA
Source: RNAcentral
CCUACGGGGGGCAGCAGUGAGGAAUAUUGGUCAAUGGCCGAGAGGCUGAACCAGCCAAGUCGCGUGAGGGAAGACGGUCCUACGGGUUGUAAACCUCUUUUGCCGGGGAGCAAAGCGAACCACGCGUGGCUCAUCGAGAGUACCCGAAGAAAAAGCAUCGGCUAACUCCGUGCCAGCAGCCGCGGUAAUACGGAGGAUGCGAGCGUUAUCCGGAUUUAUUGGGUUUAAAGGGUGCGUAGGCGGCCGUUUAAGUCAGCGGUGAAAGUUUGGGGCUCAACCCUAGAAUUGCCGUUGAAACUGGGUGGCUUGAGUAUGUUUGAAGCAGGCGGAAUGCGUGGUGUAGCGGUGAAAUGCAUAGAUAUCACGCAGAACCCCGAUUGCGAAGGCAGCCUGCC